Epinephelus lanceolatus (giant grouper) is the source of this 824-nucleotide long non-coding RNA. RefSeq lists it as uncharacterized. The record is from RefSeq and is a predicted model, not a curated record. Lineage: Eukaryota; Metazoa; Chordata; Actinopteri; Perciformes; Serranidae.
GGAAAGAGAAGUGUUGCAAGGUGUUUGGGAUUUAGAAAUCAUAGCACGAAGAAAACGUUUUUGGAGAAGCGAUGCACUGUGGAGUUGCAGUACCUCAACAGAAGCCAUUGCUCAACUGCUGUGUGAUUCCCAUAUCCCUGCACAUAAAUGCGCAUUCACAGAUGCUGACACAAUCACACCUCCUGCUUCUACACCCAUCCCCCUCCCAAGCUCCCUCCAUCAGUUUGGACAGCGUUACAGUUUGGCGGCGUCCUCGCCACGUCUGGUGCUGAUUUCCAGGCCACAGUGCCGAGGCUUGCCAGUAGGUGGGGGGUUGCAGGAUGAGCUGUGGAGGAGCUCCAAAGAUCGCAUGAACAUCACCACAGUGCUGACAAAGAGAAGGGGACUCGGAGCCGUUGGGAGGCUCUGUGAUGCUCUCAUCUGACUGUGUGGCACGCCGCAGUGAGGAACACAGAUGACAGUGAUGCACUGGUUUCUGCUUCCUCACGUGCUCACGUUAAACUGUUUAUUUCAACACGACAUGCAUUUCAAUUCGGAGGUGUGACUGAUCUGACUGUAACACUACUAGAAAUGUAAUUAAUGUUAUUCAUUGGCCAACAAUUUUGAUAAAUGAUUAAUUAUUUAGGUUAUUUAUUAGUAAAACUGUCAGAUAUUUGCUGAUUAUAGCUUCUUUAAUGUGAAGAUUUGCUGCUUUUCUCUGUUCAGUAUCAUUGUAAAUUAGAAAAUGUAUUUCUGGCUGUUGGUUUCAUGGUUGAACAAAUCAAAUUCAUUUUACAUAAAUUAACAUAAACAUUCACAAUGGCCGUGUUUUAUUAAAGCAUGCC